UACGUAGGUGGCAAGCGUUGUCCGGAUUUAUUGGGUUUAAAGGGUGCGUAGGCGGCUUUGUAAGUCAGUGGUGAAAUAUGGCAGCUUAACUGUCAAGGUGCCAUUGAUACUGCGGAGCUUGAGUACAGAUGAGGUAGGCGGAAUUGACGGUGUAGCGGUGAAAUGCUUAGAUAUCGAUCAAGAACACCUAUAGCGAAGGCAGCUUACUAGGCUGUAACUGACGCUGAGGCACGAAAAGUGUGGGGAUCAAACAGG
Molecule: ribosomal RNA, 255 nt
Filed under: uncultured bacterium
Lineage: Bacteria
Description: partial 16S ribosomal RNA
Rfam family: Bacterial small subunit ribosomal RNA
Source: RNAcentral